GAUGAAGAACGUAGUGAAAUGCGAUAAGUAAUGUGAAUUGCAGAAUUCAGUGAAUCAUCGAAUCUUUGAACGCACAUUGCGCCCGCCAGUAUUCUGGCGGGCAUGCCUGUUCGAGCGUCAUUACAACCCUCAGGCCCCCGGGCCUGGCGUUGGGGAUCGGCGGAAGCCCCCUGCGGGCACAACGCCGUCCCCCAAAUACAGUGGCGGUCCCGCCGCAGCUUCCAUUGCGUAGUAGCUAACACCUCGCAACUGGAGAGCGGCGCGGCCACGCCGUAAAACACCCAACUUCUGAAUGUUGACCUCGAAUCAGGUAGGAAUACCCGCUGAACUUAAGCAUAUCAAUAAGCGGAGAA
RNAcentral lists this unclassified non-coding RNA (353 nucleotides) under soil metagenome. Its description in RNAcentral is "partial contains 5.8S ribosomal RNA, internal transcribed spacer 2, and large subunit ribosomal RNA". The stretch from base 1 to 120 matches the Rfam family "5.8S ribosomal RNA", at positions 35 to 154 of the family's 154-position model. The record is from RNAcentral.